Molecule: ribosomal RNA, 254 nt
Filed under: uncultured bacterium
Lineage: Bacteria
Description: partial 16S ribosomal RNA
Rfam family: Bacterial small subunit ribosomal RNA
Source: RNAcentral
UACGGGGGGGGCAAGCGUUGUCCGGAUUUAUUGGGCGUAAAGAGCUCGUAGGCGGUUCGGUAAGUCGGAUGUGAAAUCUCCACGCUCAACGUGGAGGGGCCAUUCGAUACUGCCGUGACUCGAGUCCGGUAGGGGAGUGUGGAAUUCCCGGUGUAGCGGUGAAAUGCGCAGAGAUCGGGAGGAACACCCGUAGCGAAGGCGGCACUCUGGGCCGUGACUGACGCUGAGGAGCGAAAGCGUGGGGAGCAAACAGG